GACGAUCGACUCAUGUUGCCUCGGCGGGUUCUCCCGCCAGAGGAUACAUCAAAACUCCUGUUUUAACGGUGUUGUCUGAGCUACAAGCAACGAAUCAAAACUUUCAACAACGGAUCUCUUGGUUCUGGCAUCGAUGAAGAACGCAGCGAAAUGCGAUAAGUAGUGUGAAUUGCAGAAUUCAGUGAAUCAUCGAAUCUUUGAACGCACAUUGCGCCCUUUGGUAUUCCGAAGGGCAUGCCUGUUCGAGCGUCAUUACAACCACUCAAGCUCACGCUUGGUAUUGGGAUUCGCACAUCAGCGGUCCCUAAAAUCAGUGGCGGUGCUCUUAAGCUCUACGCGUAGUAAUUUUCUCGCUAUAGAUCUUAAGGGUGUCUUGCCAGUAACCCCCAAUUUUUAUCAGGUUGACCUCGGAUCAGGUAGGGAUACCCGCUGAACUUAAGCAUAUCAAUAA
RNAcentral lists this ribosomal RNA (451 nucleotides) under uncultured fungus. RNAcentral's name for it is "eukaryotic LSU rRNA". The stretch from base 99 to 252 matches the Rfam family "5.8S ribosomal RNA". The record is from RNAcentral. Lineage: Eukaryota; Fungi.